UACGGGGGGGGCAAGCGUUGUUCGGAAUUACUGGGCGUAAAGGGCUCGUAGGCGGCCAACUAAGUCGGACGUGAAAUCCCUCGGCUUAACCGGGGAACUGCGUCCGAUACUGGAUGGCUUGAGUUCGGGAGAGGGAUGCGGAAUUCCAGGUGUAGCGGUGAAAUGCGUAGAUAUCAGGAGGAACACCGGUGGCGAAGGCGGUUCUCUGGGCAUGUCCUGACGCUGAGGCGCGAAAGCUAGGGGAGCAAACAGG
This 253-nucleotide ribosomal RNA is filed under the name uncultured bacterium. RNAcentral's name for it is "partial 16S ribosomal RNA". It matches the Rfam family "Bacterial small subunit ribosomal RNA", at positions 524 to 776 of the family's 1533-position model. The record is from RNAcentral.